UGCGUAGGUGGUCGUUUAAGUCUGUUGUGAAAGCCCUGGGCUCAACCGUGGAGGGUCAUUGGAAACUGGAAAACUUGAGUGCAGAAGAGGAAAGUGGAAUUCCAUGUGUAGCGGUGAAAUGCGCAGAGAUAUGGAGGAACACCAGUGGCGAAGGCGACUUUCUGGUCUGUAACUGACGCUGAUGUGCGAAAGCGUGGGGAGCAAACA
Molecule: ribosomal RNA, 207 nt
Filed under: uncultured bacterium
Lineage: Bacteria
Description: partial 16S ribosomal RNA
Rfam family: Bacterial small subunit ribosomal RNA
Source: RNAcentral